Molecule: ribosomal RNA, 503 nt
Filed under: uncultured bacterium
Lineage: Bacteria
Description: partial 16S ribosomal RNA
Rfam family: Bacterial small subunit ribosomal RNA
Source: RNAcentral
AUUGAACGCCGGCGGCAGGCUUAACACAUGCAAGUCGAGCGGGGUGAUGGUGCUUGCACUAUCACUUAGCGGCGGACGGGUGAGUAAUGCUUAGGAAUCUGCCUAUUAGUGGGGGACAACAUCUCGAAAGGGAUGCUAAUACCGCAUACGUCCUACGGGAGAAAGCAGGGGAUCACUUGUGACCUUGCGCUAAUAGAUGAGCCUAAGUCGGAUUAGCUAGUUGGUGGGGUAAAGGCCUACCAAGGCAACGAUCUGUAGCGGGUCUGAGAGGAUGAUCCGCCACACUGGGACUGAGACACGGCCCAGACUCCUACGGGAGGCAGCAGUGGGGAAUAUUGGACAAUGGGGGGAACCCUGAUCCAGCCAUGCCGCGUGUGUGAAGAAGGCCUUAUGGUUGUAAAGCACUUUAAGCGAGGAGGAGGCUCUUUUGGUUAAUACCCAAGAUGAGUGGACGUUACUCGCAGAAUAAGCACCGGCUAACUCUGUGCCAGCCGCCGCGGUAA